RNAcentral lists this ribosomal RNA (421 nucleotides) under uncultured bacterium. RNAcentral describes it as "partial 16S ribosomal RNA". It matches the Rfam family "Bacterial small subunit ribosomal RNA", at positions 360 to 773 of the family's 1533-position model. The record is from RNAcentral.
AAUAUUGGACAAUGGGCGAAAGCCUGAUCCAGCCAUGCCGCGUGUGUGAAGAAGGUCUUCGGAUUGUAAGGCCCUUUAAGUGGGGGGGAAGGCAGGUAGGUUAAUACCUUGCUUUUUUACGUUUACGAACAAAUAAGCACCCGGCAACCUCGGUCCCGGCGGCCGCGUUAAUACGAAGGGUGCAAGCGUUAAUCGGAAUUACUGGGCGUAAAGCGCGCGUAGGUGGUUUGUUAAGUUGGAAGUGAAAGCCCCGGGCUCAACCUGGGAACUGCUUUCAAAACUGGCAAGCUAGAGUAUGGCAGAGGGUGGUGGAAUUUCCUGUGUAGCGGUGAAAUGCGUAGAUAUAGGAAGGAACACCAGUGGCGAAGGCGACCACCUGGGCUAAUACUGACACUGAGGUGCGAAAGCGUGGGGAGCAAAC